This 253-nucleotide ribosomal RNA is filed under the name uncultured bacterium. RNAcentral's name for it is "partial 16S ribosomal RNA". It matches the Rfam family "Bacterial small subunit ribosomal RNA", at positions 524 to 776 of the family's 1533-position model. The record is from RNAcentral.
UACAGAGGUGGCAAGCGUUGUUCGGAAUUACUGGGCGUAAAGGGCGCGUAGGCGGCCAUCUAAGUCAGACGUGAAAUCCCUAGGCUUAACCUAGGAACUGCGUCUGAUACUGGAAGGCUUGAGUUCGGGAGAGGGAUGUAGAAUUCCAGGUGUAGCGGUGAAAUGCGUAGAUAUCUGGAGGAAUACCGGUGGCGAAGGCGGCAUCCUGGACCGAAACUGACGCUGAGGCGCGAAAGCUAGGGUAGCAAACGGG